UACGAAGGGGGCUAGCGUUGCUCGGAAUCACUGGGCGUAAAGCGCACGUAGGCGGCUUUUUAAGUCAGGGGUGAAAUCCUGGAGCUCAACUCCAGAACUGCCUUUGAUACUGGGAAGCUCGAGUCCGGGAGAGGUGAGUGGAACUCCGAGUGUAGAGGUGAAAUUCGUAGAUGUUCGGAAGAACACCAGUGGCGAAGGCGGCUCACUGGCCCGGUACUGACGCUGAGGUGCGAAAGCGUGGGGAGCAAACAGG
Molecule: ribosomal RNA, 253 nt
Filed under: uncultured bacterium
Lineage: Bacteria
Description: partial 16S ribosomal RNA
Rfam family: Bacterial small subunit ribosomal RNA
Source: RNAcentral